AGAAUAUAAGAACCCGUCUCUUAACUUUUAACUAAAAAUGCUAAGAACCAGUUCUUAAAUAAGAGUUUAAGAGCUGGUUCUUAACCUUUUUAGUUAAAAGUUAAGAGACGGGUUCUUAUAUUCC
Brassica napus (rape) is the source of this 124-nucleotide non-coding RNA. The record is from Rfam. Lineage: Eukaryota; Viridiplantae; Streptophyta; Magnoliopsida; Brassicales; Brassicaceae.